Manis pentadactyla (Chinese pangolin) is the source of this 107-nucleotide small nuclear RNA. NCBI's taxonomy places the organism in Eukaryota, Metazoa, Chordata, Mammalia, Pholidota, Manidae. The record is from RefSeq and is a predicted model, not a curated record.
GUGCCCACUUCAGCAGCACAUAUACCAGAAUUGGAACCCUACAGAGAAGAUUAACGUGGUCCCUGAGCAAGAAUGACAUGCAAAUUCGUGACGUGUUCCAUAUUUGU